AAAGAAAAACCAAAAGAAUCAGACGCUGAAGACACUCAGGAAAAGAGACCCGCCGUUGUAACCCCAAAUGACUCCCAUUUUCUCUUCUUUUUCAAUGAAGAGCUAAACUAAAAAUACCUAAGGGAACGAACAAAAAUAGGAACUUGAAUCUCCAAAAAAUCAACAGUCGUGACUCCUCUAUUCUAAGAUCGGCGACCACUCUCGUCUCUGUCGCUGCUUGCCCAGAUUUGAAAGAUCUUCAGCCGGAGAUGCAACUCCGAUGCCGGAGGUCUUCACUGCCAUGUUUUUGUUCGGUGUUGUUCCUAUGUUAAUGUUGUGGAAAUUGCGUCAAUAGGCUUAAGAUAUUAAAUCUUCUCCGGCGAACAACGCCGCAACUGCCGGUCGAGGCUCUAGGUCUAUUUUCUGUUGAAAACUCUGCCCUUCUUUCUCCGUCGUUUGUUUCCCUUCUUUGUUACUGUUGCGUCGGAAGGUGACAGAUCCGGCGAGAUUCCAGCAAGUUUCGAGGUCUGGUCGUAGCUCCGUUCGUGGUUUUUGAUGAAGCUUUGGUUCUACGGUUCGAGGACAUCAUUUGGUCAGUGUUUCAAGAAUUAUUACAACUGUAAAGGUCUAUUUUUAUUGUUAAAUUUAAAUCUUUAUUUUGCACUAUAUUUGCUUUGAUAUUAUGCCUUAUCUGAAGUAAACUAUAGUAAAUAUAUUCGAGUAUUAUUAGUAGUAUAAUAUAGUACUGUAGUGAUUUGUUUCCUUCAUUUAACUGUGUCUGCUAUGAGUUAUUUGUGUGUGGUUUGAUGAAGCAACGGAUUGUUGUGGUCUCUACUUAUUUUACUUAUUUCAUGACCAUUGUUUAGUAUUAGAUUAUUUGAAUUCUCACGGAUUAAGGACACAGGUUGAUUGCUUAAAAGUUGAUUCUUGAAGAAAUAUUUACCUACUUGCUUUAAUGAAGAUCAUGUUGUGUUUCUUGUCAAGUUACAGUGCUCGCGUAGCAAUUUAAUUUAGGAAAGGGUUUUGUUAGCAUUCAUGAGUUGUUCCCCUCUUGUUUUGUUAUAGUGUUUCUUGUUUAUUAUCGUGAUUAUGUACAGGUUCGCGAGACACGAUUACGGUUUCUAAAAUGAAUAUCUGUGGAAAGCCUUUAAGCACAUUUAAAAUACAAUUGUGGUUGUGUACACGUUCGCGUGACAUAAUCAUGGUUCUAAAAACCAAUUCGGGGUAUGCGUUCGCCCAACUUCGAACAAACUUUCUUAAUAAUGAAAUGGGUGUUAAUAGGCCGUUAAUUUAAUCUUAGUUCAUAUAGUCUGAGGUGUGACAUCCACAAUUUAAUCAUCUAUGUCCCUCGUAUUAAUUUCAUAACCUAGUUAUAAAAAUUAUAAGUAAUCGUAGUUUGCUUUAGGCGCGUUAAUUAGAUAAAUUGUCAUAGCUACGGAUACGGUUCCCGUGACGUGGUUGUGACACUUAAAUUCAAAAAUACGGGGGUGCAUUUCAUGUGAUCCGGUUCUAAUUUCCAACAAGGUUAAGUAGAACGUGUCGUAAACCACAGGUGCAUUUCAUGUAGCGUGGCUAACGAUGUGUUUUAAAUGACCUUGAAAUUUCUUGAAAUAUUAAAAGCGGCUAAAAGGUUAAAAAGGGCACGUAGGUUUUUAAAUGUGUAAUUAAUCAGGUAAUUAGGCCAAUAAUAACAGUUGAGAGACCGUGCUAAAACCACGGAACCCAGGAAUGUCUAACACCUUCUCCUGGGUUAACAGAAUUCCUUACCCGGAUUUCUAUGUUCGCAGACUGUAAACAGAGUCAAUAUUCCUCGAUUCGGGAUUUUAAACUAGUGACUUGGGACACCAUAAAUUAUCCCAAAUGGUGACUCUGAAUUUUAAAUGAAUCUCAUUUCGAUUGUCACUUUAAGUUGGAAAAAACUCCCUUAUACCCUUUCGGGGUGGUAAAAAAGAGGUGUGACAGUAGUCACUUGAUUGAUUGAAGAGUUAAACCAAGUAUGAAGAUUGUGGUAAUAUCGUUAAUUUGAGGAUUUAUGCCUGGAGGGCACUUAGCUUAUUGGGUUGUGGACUGUGGAGGAUUACUCCGGUUAUGAUGGUUGUUCUUGUGUGUUAUGAGAAAAGGGGGGUCAUUAUGGACCUUUGAAAGGUUAGUAGCCUAGUUCAGUGUGAUCGGAAUCAGCUUGGGGUCUGUGGAUGGAUUUAAAUGUGAAUAUGGGCUUUAUAUCAGGCCAGAUGUGUUCAUCUCAGCAAUGCGCUCCUUAUGGAAGAGUAGUCGGAGUAGUAUUUUGUCAUCAACUAUUUCAUGUAAUGAUAUAUUGCAUGGUGUGAGUUGUGAGACGGCUUGGUAAAUUUCUUAUGUGUUGAGGUUCUGCAUAGAGAUGAUGUUAUAUGAGCAGAAUAGCUCUUGAGAUUCAGAUUUAAUAUUGCACCUCAGUUGUCCUUGAGUUGUGGCUUAUAACGCUAUAUGUCUCCCAAGGGAUGGUGUUAUGCACUUAGCGUACCUGUGACCGACAUUCGGUAUAUGGUUGUAAUAAGCAAUCUAGCUCGGUGUGUAUCUCCUUAUGUGAAUUUUAUGUGUGGAUCGAGUGGCAUGCCGCCAUGGGUAUGUUGUUUAGAUCGGGUUGCGUGCCGCAACAGUGUAAUGUUGAGUACAGUUCCCUAUAUCUGUUUUUAUGUGUUUUAUUUCCUAUUUUUCUGAGGAAAGCCCCUAUUAGCUGUGUAAGUUGAGUAGCCCCUUCCAGAGUUCGUCUUCCUUUUGUAUCGCGUUUGAAUUGGUAGCUUCUUAGCACAUUAUGUCACUAUGAGACUUUUGAUCAUGUCCGGGUGGCUUAUUGCCUGAGCAGUUCGUACUGGGUGAGACGAGAUCAUUGGAUUUAGGAUCAGAUGCAAUCUGAUUAUAUGAAGUAUAUUAAGGAGCUAAGACCAUUAUUUGGUUUAGAAUGAGGUGAUGGUUCUUGUCAGGAGUAUAGACCCAAUGAUUUGUUGAUUCGGCGGCUGGUUGUGAAUUUUUACAUAUCUCUUCCAUCAUGGUGGUAUUGUAAGAUCUAGAGCAAGACCUAUGCAUGUUAGGAGGUGCAAUGGGAUGCAUCAGAUUUGUGGAAUUUCGACUAAUUUGAUCGGUGAAUAUUAUUGUGGUCUUGUGAGUAAUGUGGUGUAAGGUGUGAAUUUAGCUAAGGUAUGCAGUCAUGUUUUAGUCCUACGUGUAGUUAUUGAUACGGUGAGCGUAUGUUGGAACAGGCCUGGCACAAAAUUCCGGAUGAUGGAAUUGGGCUCUAAAGCUUAUUUUCUUAAGUGAAAAAGGACAUCUUUAGAUUGAUCAAGCUAAGGUGCCCAGCUGAGUAGUGGUGGCACGGGUAGGUGCGCGAGGUGUUAAGUAGUGUUUUCGGACAACUCUAGUGCAGUUCUCAGCACGUUCGAGGACGAACGUAUGUAAGUGGAAGAGAAUGUAACGACCCGACCGGUCGUUUUGAGUUCUAGCACGUCGUUCAGAAGUUUGAGGCCAUGAUCAUCUUCACUUCAGGUAUUACAACUUGUACGCGUUGUCGGAAUUGAAUUUUGGGAAGUUCAGAGUUGAUUUGAAAAGAGAAUUCUCAUUUCGGAAGUUUUAAGUUGAAAGAAUUGACUAAGGUUGGAUUUUUGAGUAAACGACCUCAGAAUCGGGAUUCGAAGGUUCCAGCAGUUUCGUAUGACGAUUUUGGACUUGGGCAUAUAUCCGGAUUGGGUUUUGGAAGACCCGAGAAUGUUUCGGCGCCUAUUAAGGAAGUUAGCAUUUUGGAAGAAUCUCAUAAGUUUGGGUUGAAGUGAAUUUCGGUGUUAUCAAUGUCCAUAUGGGAUUCCGAGUCUGGGAAUAGAUCCGUAUGGUGAUUCUAGUAUUGGGUGCGCGAUUGAAAGUGAAUUCGGAGGUUCAUAGGUCAUUUUGGAGUCAUUUGGCUAAAGAUAGAAAUUUGAAGGUUUUUGAGAAGUUUGAUCGGAAGUGGACUUUUUGAUAUUGGGGUCGGAUUUUGAUUCUGGAAGUUGGAGUAGCUCUGUAAUGUCAAAUAUGACCUAUGUGCAAAAUUUGAGGUCAAUCGGACGUGAUUUGAUAGGUCUAAACACUAAAAGUAGAAGUUUGAAAUUUUAGAGUUCAUUAAGCUUGAAUUGGAGUGCGAUUCAUGGUUUUAGCGUUGUUUGAUGUGAUUUGAGGCUUCAAGAAAGUCUGUGUUAUGUUUUUAGACUUGUGCGGGUGUUUGGUUUGGAGCCUCGGGGGGCUCGGGUGUGAUUCGGGAUAGCUUCGGAGUGAUUUGCUAAGAAAUAGGAUUACUGGUGCUGGUAUGAUCGCAAUUGCGAUGCAUUGGUGGCAAAUGCGACCUCUCAUUUGCGAGCCUGGGCUUCUGAGGGCAAAGUUCGCAUUUGCGAAAAAAGGAUCGCUUUUGCGAGGCCGUCAACUUCGCAUUUGCGAAGAAUCUUGUCGCAAAUGCGACCAGGGCAGGGUUGGCUAGGCUUCGCAUUUACGAUGCAAUUGUCGCAAAUGCAACAUCGCAUUUGCGAGCCGGAUGUCGCAAAUGCGACUUCUGCGACUGGAACUCAGGGCUUUUUAUUCCGAGACUUAGCCCAUUUCCUUCAUUUCCCACUUGGCCUUAGGCAAUUUUGAGAGCUCUUGAGGAGGGAUUCCAUCAUCAUCAAAGAGGUAAGUAACUUCUACACAUCAUAAGUUAAAUACAUGGAUUAUGGGUAGAUUAACAUGUGAAAAUUAGGGAAAUCAAGGGUUUUAGAUGAAAAACCUAGAAUUUGGUAAAAACAAGAUUUAACCACGAAAUUUGUUAGGGAAUGGAGUAAAAAUCAUAUAUUCUUGAUCCUUAGGUUAUGGGUAACAAUUUUCUUCAAAAAUUUCCGGAAUCCGGGCACGUGGACCCAGGGAUGAAUUUUAGGAACCUUGCAUUUAGGGUUGGGAAAUUGGUUUAAUAAUUAGAAUAUGAACUUUUGAGCAUGUAUUGACUAGAUCUUACCCUAUUUGAAUAGUUUUGGAUCGUUCGGCUCCGAAUUGGAGGUUUGAGCGCAUUCUUGAAUCGAAAUAUAGGUUUUGGAGCGAGGUGAGUCUCCUUUCUAACCUUGUAAGAGGGAAUUGUCCCCAUAGGUGAGUUAAUUGGUUAUGUGCUCCUAUUUGUGGGGGCUACAUAUGCACGAGGAGGCGAGAGUCCGUGUGUAGCUACUAUUAUGUUAUUGUCCAGGUAGUCUAGAACCCAAAAGCAUGUUGUACUUGGAAAUAUUUGUAAUCAUAUUGACGGUUUGAAUUGCUUAAAUCACAUCGGAUUAGUAAGUAUAUUUCUAAAAGAUUGAGCUUCAUUUUCUUGAAUUGUUAAAAGAGAAUUGGAUUUUCCUUGGAUAGUUGUUCCCUGAUGAAGUUUUGAUUAACUGUUUGAAUAUGUAAUUCUAUGUGUACCUGCGUCACAUGAAUGAUUCGCGAGCAGGGUGUUUGUUUAUAUUAUGUUGACCCCAUCGUAUGGAUGAUUCGCGAGCAGGGUAAUAGAUGCAUCUAUGGUUCGGGCCAUUCAACCCUCGGCAGUGCAUAUUUUACAUUUCUAUUGGUUCGGGUUGUACGACCUCGGCAUGAUAUGCGUAUGCUUGUAUUGCUUGUCUAAGAAUUUUAAAUGUUGAUAUUUGCCUUUCCUGGCCACAGAUAAAUUGAUAAAGGUAAUGCAAAGUAAAUCUUUGGAAAACCC
RNAcentral lists this long non-coding RNA (5677 nucleotides) under Nicotiana tabacum (common tobacco). Its description in RNAcentral is "long non-coding RNA (NTAB_LNC003682)". The record is from RNAcentral. Lineage: Eukaryota; Viridiplantae; Streptophyta; Magnoliopsida; Solanales; Solanaceae.